AUGGCCGACGCGGGUCAAAGUGAACUAUCUGUUCUUAUGAGCUUAAUAUUUUAUACUGGUUGUAUUUGAACCCAAGAUAUUGAAGUUAUUUUUGCAAGCUGGCGGAGUGCUUGGAGCCUGCUUCACCUCCACCUGCGGGUCGGACCGGUAUUGCACUACCUUCGGGAUUUUUUGUCUACGGACA
Small nuclear RNA from Dermacentor silvarum, 184 nucleotides. RefSeq annotates it as U2 spliceosomal RNA. The record is from RefSeq and is a predicted model, not a curated record. The transcript has a single exon. Lineage: Eukaryota; Metazoa; Arthropoda; Arachnida; Ixodida; Ixodidae.